This 844-nucleotide long non-coding RNA is filed under the name Malus domestica (apple). RNAcentral describes it as "long non-coding RNA (MDOM_LNC015969)". The record is from RNAcentral. Lineage: Eukaryota; Viridiplantae; Streptophyta; Magnoliopsida; Rosales; Rosaceae.
AAAUCAGGUUUUUAGGUCCCCUUGCAGCUGGAAUUAAGUUAAGAUAGGAUUAGGAUAGGAUAAGACAAGAUAAGGUUAAGAUAAGGUUGGAUAAGGUUUUGGAUAAGAUAAGGCAGUUUGGAUUUACUUCUUCAACUCUUUAGCACAUUCCUAGACAUCUUUGGUCUUCAAAUUCGUCCAUCCAACUUGCUCCGUGCAUGUGCUAUCCAUUUUUGGCCCAAAACUGCUCCAAAAUGCUCCAUAUUGCACUUUCUUGCCAACUUUGUCAUUUGGACCUACAAACACGAAAAUAGCUUAAAACACUAUAAUAAGUAAGAACUAACAACAUAAAUGCAAGAAAACAAGCUAACUAAGUUGCAUAACUAUGCUCCUAUCACUUUAUGAUGAUAAAAACUUAUGUUGUUAAAAUAUCAAUUAUGUUGUUAACUUAGGCAACGUUAAACCACUAAUCCAUGUUUUGAGCAUUGGAAAUCAUGAACCCUAAAACACUCUUGGGCGUUUUAAUAACCAUAAACAUGACAAGUUCAAGAAUCCCAACCAUUUUGAUCUACUAUUCUGCCACAAAUAUAGGUUUUGGGAUUUGAACUAUUUUUCUUUAAAGCUUGAGAUCAUAAAAAUCAGUCAAAUAAGGUUUUGUGUUCUCCACUUGUAAUAUCAUUUCAUAAAGAUUUGAAUUGUUCUAAUAUCGUGUCAGAUUCGCACCUAAGUGACUUACAAUUAAAUACCACGAUAAUGUAAACAAGUUGAUACUUUGACACAAAGUAAUAUAAACAAAUAUUGGCAACCACAAAAUUAUCUUGUUCGAAAGGAAUACCAAAAGUCAGAAUGGCAAGGAAACUAGGGA